UACGUAGGGUGCAAGCGUUGUCCGGAAUUAUUGGGCGUAAAGAGCUCGUAGGCGGUCAGUCGCGUCUGCUGUGAAAACUCGGGGCUUAACUCCGGGCCUGCAGUGGGUACGGGCUGACUAGAGUGCGGUAGGGGAGACUGGAAUUCCUGGUGUAGCGGUGAAAUGCGCAGAUAUCAGGAGGAACACCGGUGGCGAAGGCGGGGUCUCUGGGCCGUAACUGACGCUGAGGAGCGAAAGCGUGGGGAGCGAACAGG
Molecule: ribosomal RNA, 254 nt
Filed under: uncultured bacterium
Lineage: Bacteria
Description: partial 16S ribosomal RNA
Rfam family: Bacterial small subunit ribosomal RNA
Source: RNAcentral